CGUGUAGGCGGUCUGGUAAGUGAGGUGUGAAACGCCCCGGCUCACCCGGGGACCUGCAUCUCAAACUGCCUGGCUUGAGUACGGGAGAGGAUGAGGGAAUUCCUGGUGUAGCGGUGAAAUGCGUAGAUAUCAGGAGGAACACCGGUGGCGAAAGCGCUCAUCUGGCCCGAUACUGACGCUGAGGCGCGAAAGCUAGGGGAGCAAACGGGAUUAGAUACCCCGGUAGUCCUAGCCGUAAACGGUGAGCACUAGGUGUUGGAGGCAUCGACCCCUCCAGUGCCGCAGCUAACGCAUUAAGUGCUCCGCCUGGGGAGUACGGCCGCAAGGUUGAA
This 332-nucleotide ribosomal RNA is filed under the name uncultured bacterium. RNAcentral describes it as "bacterial SSU rRNA". It matches the Rfam family "Bacterial small subunit ribosomal RNA", at positions 568 to 898 of the family's 1533-position model. The record is from RNAcentral.